Molecule: long non-coding RNA, 1021 nt
Organism: Setaria italica (foxtail millet)
Lineage: Eukaryota; Viridiplantae; Streptophyta; Magnoliopsida; Poales; Poaceae
Exons: 3
Source: RefSeq, a predicted model, not a curated record
ACCCCCGUCUUCCACCAUUGCCCCUCGGCCUCCCCGUCCCGGCCUCCCCCAAUUUCUUCCUCUCUUUGCCCUCCGCGCUGCCACCACCCUGCCCCUGCACGGCCUUCAAAUCCGCCCGCUGUUUCCCGCCCUCCUCCCUUCGCGCGCAGCAGCUCGCUCACCUCGCCGCGCCGGCGCGGCGGGGCGCCGUUCGGUGGGUGGGUCUCGCUUCUUGGAUCUCGCGGGAGGCCCUGCCUUCCUGGUUUUGCGUUCUCCGCGUCUCUUGGUGAUUCGGACUGCUUGCUGGAUGGUGAUGGCUGUGACUAGUUCCGGGGUGAUGGCUCCGUGAAGAUUGGAUUGGGUUUCCGACAGAGGGGAUUGGAUCUUGGCGGUGCUGCGAGAGGCCACAACCAUAUAGCAAAAGCCUGACCUAUGCAACAGUCAUUGGAAUUCUCCUCAAGCUGAAGAGACUCACAAAUGGGCAUCCGUCAGCGUGCUGGAUGGCCACGGGCAACUGGGACAGUGGAGCAGGACGCCAUGCUAAACUGUAUAUGCGUGUUUAGAUGUGUGACGAGGACAGGAGCAUGUUCCAGAUGUGCAAAGAUGAGCAGGCAUCAAGUGGAUGAAGAGGUCAGAAGUAAGCUGGCUGCAUUGGAGGUGGGCCAUCAAAAUGAAAUUCAGAGAACAGUUUCUGCAUUCGCUCGACUUCAGAAAUAUGCGGAAUCAAGAAAGAGAUAGACAGAAGACUAGAUGUGCACUUCCAGAGAAGAAUGUAUGUACCUUUGUAAAUGUUUCUUGCAUUUCUUGAAGUAUGCAAUUUCCAUGUUUUUACAAAUACUAGAGAAAAAUUCUAUUUGUUUUAAUGAGAUGUAAAGCAUUUGUAGUACUAUUCCAAUGUCUGUAUCCAAAAUAGGAGCCGGUUCUCGCAGCAAUGAGCUAAUCGCUUACUGCAUUGUUUAGCAAUGCUGAUUUCUCUGUUAAAUUAUUCUGCCUUCAUUUAUUCUAUAUUCCAAAGUGAAAAGUGUAUGCAUUUACAAGGGCA